Molecule: long non-coding RNA, 663 nt
Filed under: Callithrix jacchus (white-tufted-ear marmoset)
Lineage: Eukaryota; Metazoa; Chordata; Mammalia; Primates; Cebidae
Description: lncRNA (ENSCJAG00000076295.1)
Source: RNAcentral
CGGAAAGUGACUUUUAACAUAAGCCCUGGCACUAUGCCAGGGACUGCCCAUAGUUUAUCUAAAUGAUGCUCCACAAACCUGUACAGUGAGUAUUUCUAUCCAACCUCUGUUAGCAAAUGAAAAAAUGGAGAUUCAGAAGGUUGAGAAAUUUAUGUAAAAUCACACAGCUAGUAUGAGUUCAAGCCAGAACGUAAUACCAAAAGAUUCCGAUUCCAGAGUCCACUUUCCUCCAAUUCCAUCACUAGGAUUCUGAUGCAUCACAGUGCAAUUCCCUGCAUUUACCCAUUCCUUCCACAAUGCCUUAUUUCACCUCUACUACAUGCAUCGGGCUGAGCCUGCACCUGAAUAUGUUCUCCUUCCUUCCAGAGGAUAGACUAUUUGGGGCUAUGGCUGGUCGUCUGCAGUGACUCUGAUCUCGAGAGCUGGGGCACACUACACAGCUUGUAUGAUAAUGCCAUGCAGAAGCAGAGACACAUCCCUGAUGCACAUAUCCCCCCUGCUGUCUGCACUCCCAAGGAGCAGCACAGGACAGACUACGAGGAGCUUCUGAGGAAGGCUCAGCCUUGGGCAAAGUCAGAGUAUUCUGCAUCUUCCAGCCCAGAAUUUGAUGGGUGUCUUCCUGGUCUUCCCUGAUGUCUGUGAUGUCAGCAGUGCCAGCCUGUU